GGGUAAUUAACUCAAUUGGUAGAGUAUUCGUUUUACACACGAAAGGUUAAAGGUUCAAAUCCUUUAUUGCCUA
Penicillium ucsense is the source of this 73-nucleotide non-coding RNA. Lineage: Eukaryota; Fungi; Ascomycota; Eurotiomycetes; Eurotiales; Aspergillaceae. The record is from the annotation of a GenBank genome assembly.